RNAcentral lists this unclassified non-coding RNA (264 nucleotides) under Hevea brasiliensis (rubber tree). Lineage: Eukaryota; Viridiplantae; Streptophyta; Magnoliopsida; Malpighiales; Euphorbiaceae. The record is from RNAcentral.
GCAAGGUUGCUGUCAUCCCUGGCAUAGAAAAUGUUAGACUUUCAGUUCUUGCUUUCAGCAAGUUUUCCAUUUUUGUGAAUAUGACUUUAUAAGCGAAUAGAAGCAAAACCAUCAUUAGAUGCACAGUGUUAAUAUAAAGAGAAGGUGACUAGCCUUAUCUCAACACUGGGAAAUUAAGGGGAAAAAAGGUAGUAGAUACAUGCAAAGGCACAAUGGAUUUAGAUUUACUGAGAUGGCCUUGAAACUGUACCUGUCAAGUGUUGC